Molecule: ribosomal RNA, 373 nt
Filed under: uncultured organism
Description: bacterial SSU rRNA
Rfam family: Bacterial small subunit ribosomal RNA
Source: RNAcentral
CGUAGGGUGCAAGCGUUAUUCGGAAUUACUAGGCGUAAAGCGAGUGUAGGCGGACGCUUAAGUCCGACGUGAAAUCUCUAGGCUUAACCUGGAGCGGUCGUCGGAUACUGAGCGCCUCGAGAGAGGUAGGGGGCAGGGGAAUUCCCGGUGUAGCGGUGAAAUGCGUAGAUAUUGGGAGGAACACCUAUGGCGAAAGCACCUGCCUGGGCCUUUCCUGACGCUAAGACUCGAAAGCCGGGGGAGCAAACAGGAUUAGAUACCCUGGUAGUCCCGGCUGUAAACGAUGGUAACUAGAUGUGGGAGGUAUCGACCCCCUUCCGUGUCGUCGCUAACGCUUUAAGUUACCCGCCUGGGGAGUACGGCCGCAAGGUUA